RNAcentral lists this ribosomal RNA (253 nucleotides) under uncultured bacterium. Its description in RNAcentral is "partial 16S ribosomal RNA". It matches the Rfam family "Bacterial small subunit ribosomal RNA", at positions 524 to 776 of the family's 1533-position model. The record is from RNAcentral.
UACGUAGGGUGCGAGCGUUAAUCGGAAUUACUGGGCGUAAAGCGUGCGCAGGCGGCGCGUUAAGACAGGUGUGAAAUCCCCGGGCUUAACCUGGGAACUGCGCUUGUAACUGGCAAGCUUGAGUGUGGCAGAGGGGGGUGGAAUUCCACGUGUAGCAGUGAAAUGCGUAGAGAUGUGGAGGAACACCGAUGGCGAAGGCAGCCCCCUGGGCUAACACUGACGCUCAUGCACGAAAGCGUGGGGAGCAAACAGG